CGCAGAGUGGUUUAGUGGUUAGCACAUUCGCUUCACACCGCCAGGGUUUGGGGGUUCAAAUCCCCAGAGUGUGC
Molecule: non-coding RNA, 74 nt
Organism: Ameiurus melas (black bullhead)
Lineage: Eukaryota; Metazoa; Chordata; Actinopteri; Siluriformes; Ictaluridae
Source: the annotation of a GenBank genome assembly